AACUUUUGGCAACGGAUCACUUGGUUCUCGCAUCGAUGAAGAACGCAGCGAAAUGCUAUAAGUAAUGUGAAUUGCAGAAUUCAGUGAAUCAUCGAAUCUUUGAACGCAACUUGCGCUCCUUGGUACUCUGAGGAGCAUGCCUGUUUGAGUGUCAUUAAACUUCUUCUCAACCCAUCCAGUUUCUCUGUGUGUGGGCUUUGUAAAAUUGGGGGCUUGCUGGUUACUAUUUGUCCAGCUCUCCUGAAAAGCAUUAGCGGCAUCUGGGCUGCUUGCAGGUGUGAUAACUUGUCUACACCUUUGCAGUGGCUGCAUUUGUGCUGCUUUAGAGGGCAUUGAUGAAAUUUGACCUCAAAUCAGGUAGGACUACCCGCUGAACUUAAGCAUAUCAAUAAGCGGAGGCU
This 401-nucleotide unclassified non-coding RNA is filed under the name uncultured Inocybe. Its description in RNAcentral is "sequence contains ITS2". The stretch from base 1 to 154 matches the Rfam family "5.8S ribosomal RNA". The record is from RNAcentral. Lineage: Eukaryota; Fungi; Basidiomycota; Agaricomycetes; Agaricales; Cortinariaceae.